Molecule: non-coding RNA, 186 nt
Organism: Desulfomicrobium orale DSM 12838
Lineage: Bacteria; Pseudomonadati; Thermodesulfobacteriota; Desulfovibrionia; Desulfovibrionales; Desulfomicrobiaceae
Source: Rfam
AAUGGCGGGAAUAUAUCAAGCUAUCCAGAUAUUGUGAUGAGACACGGAAGGCGGUGCAAAUCCGCCGCGGACGCGCCACUGUAACCGGCGGCAAAACCAGCCGGAGCCACUGCCUGCGGAUUGCGGGCGGGAAGGCCCGGCGUCAUGGGCCGGAAGCCAGGAGACGACUUGUCACAAUGGCCGCGA